This is a microRNA precursor of Equus caballus (horse), 121 nucleotides long. The record is from Ensembl. Lineage: Eukaryota; Metazoa; Chordata; Mammalia; Perissodactyla; Equidae.
AGCUGCGUCUGAAGACAGGGUUUGCUCUUCUGGACUGUUGAGUUCCAUGAGGCAAGUAAGUUCCCAUUACUAAUUACCUAAAGAGCUCUAACAAGUCUGGGGAAGGGUAGAUCGCUGGAGG